AUUUAUUGUGGUUAAGGUAUGAAUAGAUAUAGUUCAAAUACACUGCAGCACAGUGGGUGGUGGCCAUGCAUCGUUAACAUCGCCUGCUAACCGCUAACUAAACACCAUAGAAGAAGAAUCUGUUUGCGGUCGCUCUCCCAAACAAAUGAUUUCCAGAAGUUGGCACGCGACAUUCUGACUAAUGCCUAGCUAACUGAAUUCAGUUGGUUGCCAGUGCUGUGCUUGUGGGUUAGUUAGCUAGCUAGCUAAUGUAUUAUAUUUCACCAAGCGCAUAUUAAUCAAAUUAAGAAAUAUAAUUAGAAAUAUAUUUAGUACAGAAACUAAGUGAACCCCCAUCCAAUCUUAUUUGGAUCCUGACUUCAGUCAAGUUUGGCGCCUGUGAACAUGGCAAAGCAGAAGGAGAUGUUUAAUGAGGGUGACGACUACAAGUCCAUCCAUGUUGAGAUGUACCUCCAGGUCUGUGUUGGGAUUAUAUUAUUCUGUGUUGUACCUGUGAGAGCUGAUCUUCAAGACCUUUGAGAGCAAUGACAUCAAAAACACAGCCUUUGUUAUGUCACCUGUAUGGUGACACCUUCCAGGAGAUGUGCAACUUUUAAACACAAACAUGGAAAUGUCAUGAUAUGAUAGAAUUCUUGAGCUUUAACCAGAAUUGAGAAAAUUAUACUGUAUGAAUUGGCUUUAUAUAAUUAAUAAUGAUAUAAUAUACAGUAAUUUUCCCAACCAGUUGUUUUGUCUAAGUGAAUCAUAUCAGUUGGUGUCAUUAUGGUUUCUGUGGUUUUUUUAAUGCACUUUUAAACAAUCAUAUUCACAACUAAUGUUCAUGCACAACCAAUUCACAAUCACAUUCACAAGUAAUAUAA
Esox lucius (northern pike) is the source of this 860-nucleotide long non-coding RNA. RefSeq lists it as uncharacterized. The transcript has 3 exons. Lineage: Eukaryota; Metazoa; Chordata; Actinopteri; Esociformes; Esocidae. The record is from RefSeq and is a predicted model, not a curated record.